GACGAACGCUGGCGGCGUGCUUAACACAUGCAAGUCGAACGAAGUGGCGAACGGGUGAGUAACGCGUAAUCAACCUGCCCUUCAGAGGGGGACAACCGUUGGAAACGACUGCUAAUACCGCAUACUGAAGGAGGGGAUUUCGUCUGAUUAGCUAGUUGGAGGGGUAACGGCCCACCAAGGCGAUGAUCAGUAACCGGUCUGAGAGGAUGAACGGCCACAUUGGGACUGGGUAAAGGACCAGACUCCGACGGGAGGCAGCAGGGGGGAAGCUUCCGCAAUGGACGAAAGUCUGACGGAGCAACUCCGCGUGAGUGAUGACGGCCUUCGGGUUGUAAAGCUCUGUUAAUCGGGACGCGGUACCGGAAUAGAAAGCCACGGCUAACUACGUGCCAGCCGCCGCGGUAAUUC
RNAcentral lists this ribosomal RNA (408 nucleotides) under uncultured bacterium. Its description in RNAcentral is "partial 16S ribosomal RNA". It matches the Rfam family "Bacterial small subunit ribosomal RNA", at positions 28 to 526 of the family's 1533-position model. The record is from RNAcentral.